UACGGGGGGAGCAAGCGUUGUCCGGAUUUAUUGGGCGUAAAGAGCGUGUAGGCGGCUUGGUAGGUCCGCUGUGAAAACUCGAGGCUCAACCUCGAGAUGUCGGCGGAAACCACUUGGCUAGAGUCCGGAAGAGGAGAGUGGAAUUCCUGGUGUAGCGGUGAAAUGCGCAGAUAUCAGGAAGAACACCCGUGGCGAAGGCGGCUCUCUGGGACGGUACUGACGCUGAGACGCGAAAGCGUGGGGAGGCGAACAGG
Molecule: ribosomal RNA, 254 nt
Filed under: uncultured bacterium
Lineage: Bacteria
Description: partial 16S ribosomal RNA
Rfam family: Bacterial small subunit ribosomal RNA
Source: RNAcentral